This 327-nucleotide ribosomal RNA is filed under the name uncultured eukaryote. Its description in RNAcentral is "partial 18S ribosomal RNA". It matches the Rfam family "Eukaryotic small subunit ribosomal RNA", at positions 1470 to 1796 of the family's 1831-position model. The record is from RNAcentral.
CCCUUAGAUGUUCUGGGCCGCACGCGCGCUACACUGACGAUGUCAGAGAGUGUCUCCUUCACCGAGAGGUGUGGGUAAUCUUUUAAACAUCGUCGUGCUGGGGAUAGAUCAUUGCAAUUUUUGAUCUUAAACGAGGAAUUCCUAGUAAGCGCGAGUCAUCAGCUCGCGCUGAUUACGUCCCUGCCCUUUGUACACACCGCCCAUCGCUACUACCGAUUGAAUGGUUUAGUGAGGCCUUCUGACUGGCGCCGCUACUCUGGCAACAGAGCGGCGGAUGCCGGGAAGUUGGUCAAACUUGAUCAUUUAGAGGAAGUAAAAGUCGUAACA